UUGCACGGUGACUUCAACAUUUCUUCAUGUUAAACACCAAGAACAUUAUUUAGGUGACACUAUGAAGAUGAAUGCUUCUCCAAGCUUAGUGACCGUGGUACUCCUAAUGCUUGGGGUGAGAGGGUUCCAGGUGGAGCAGAGUCCUUCAGUCCUGAGACUCCAAGAAGGAACUGAUUCUACUCUGAGGUGUAAUUUUUCUGCCACUAUAAGGAAUAUGCAGUGGUUCCGACAGAUUCCUGGGAGCAGCCUCAUCAGUCUAUUUUUCAUGACUUCAGGGAUAAAGCAGAAUGGAAGGUUAGAGGCAACAGUUAACUCUAAGGACCGCUAUAGCACCCUUCACAUCACGGCCUCCCAUCUGGAAGACUCAGGCACCUACCUGUGUGCAGCAGAGGCACAGUGCCCCCAGGUCACCUGCAGGCUGAGCUCAAACUGCAGCUGGGCCCCUGCCACGGGGAAGACUGUGCAGCAGCAUUUGUUCAGCUUUGAGCUUUCAGACUCUACUAAACCUAUCAACCUUACUGGUAAUACAGGAGGAAUGAAAACCCAAAGAGAAAUCCAUUCCAAGGAUUCAGUCUCUGCUUCUGGUUUGGAUUUGGACAGGGAUAAUCCCUGA
This is a non-coding RNA of Tupaia belangeri chinensis (Chinese tree shrew), 613 nucleotides long. The record is from the annotation of a RefSeq genome assembly. Lineage: Eukaryota; Metazoa; Chordata; Mammalia; Scandentia; Tupaiidae.